AGGCACAUCUAUAUCUGCAUAUAUCUCGUUCUCAUAACAAUCCAAGAACUUGAGCUUUGAAUGGUUAAGGAACGGCAGUAGUGAGAUUGGAAUUUUGAAUAGGUUUCUUGAAAGUUGUAAUUUAUGUAAGGAUGUGAGAGUCGCCAGGGGAGAUAUGGAGAUAUUUCCAAUGAAGUGAUUGGAAGAUAUAUCUAAUUGUUGAAGGGAUGUUAAAUUUGCUA
This 221-nucleotide unclassified non-coding RNA is filed under the name Hevea brasiliensis (rubber tree). The record is from RNAcentral. Lineage: Eukaryota; Viridiplantae; Streptophyta; Magnoliopsida; Malpighiales; Euphorbiaceae.